Molecule: RNA transcript, 1631 nt
Organism: Chenopodium quinoa (quinoa)
Lineage: Eukaryota; Viridiplantae; Streptophyta; Magnoliopsida; Caryophyllales; Amaranthaceae
Exons: 8
Source: RefSeq, a predicted model, not a curated record
CCCAUUGUCACAUUCUAAACGCCUCAGCUGUAAAGGACGGAAUUGCAACUUUGUCAUUAAUCUUCCUCUAAUCCUCCCUUUGCUUUCAUUUUCUUUUCAAGCCUUCAACUUUUAUUAUAGUUGAGUGUAGUAGUGGUUCAACUGAGAUUGAGAGGGAAAUGGAGAAAUUCCCAGUUAUAGAUCUGAACCCAUACUUGGAGUGGGAACAAAGCGGGAAUGGCAACGAGGCAGAAAUGAAAAAGCUGUGUUUGGAGGUUAGCCGGACUCUGCAGGAGACAGGAGCUUUACUGGUAAAAGAUCCCAGAUGUUCUGCUCAAGACAAUGAUCGUUUUCUUGACAUGAUGGAGAAGUAUUUCGAGCAAACCCCGGAAUUCAAGCGCCUUCAAGAACGCCCUCUUUUGCAUUACCAGGUUGGAGUUACGCCGGAAGGAGUUGAAGUCCCCCGAAGUUUGGUGGAUGCAGAAAUGCAACAGAAUCUUAAAGCUAUGUCGCCCCAAAAUCAGCCAUCCACCCCAACUGGGCCUGAUCCUAAGUGGAGAUAUAUGUGGAGGAUUGGUCCUCGUCCGUCGAAUACUCGCUUCAAGGAAUUAAAUGCUGAGCCCGUAAUUCCUGAAGGAUUCCCAGAAUGGAAAGAGACCAUGGAUUCUUGGGGUCUUAAAAUGAUAUCAGCUAUAGAGGUUGUUGCAGAAAUGGCCGCUAUCGGAUUUGGCUUGCCUAAGGAUGCUUUCACUUCUUUGAUGAAGCAGGGGCCUCACCUUCUUGCUCCAACGGGUAGUGACCUUCAUCAUCAUGGACAGGAGGGGACUGUAUUUGCAGGAUAUCACUACGACCUUAACUUCUUAACUAUCCAUGGGAGGAGUAGGUUUCCAGGUCUGAACAUUUGGCUUAGAAAUGGAGAAAAGGUGGAAGUCAAAGUUCCUGUUGGAUGCCUUCUUAUUCAGACUGGAAAACAGAUUGAAUGGCUGACUGGCGGCGAAUGCAUUGCCGGAAUGCAUGAGGUUGUUGUGACCAAAAGGACUCUUGAAGCAAUUAGAUUAGCAUCUGAACAAAGGUGCAGUCUGUGGAGGGUAUCUUCAACUUUGUUUGCACAUGUUGCAUCAGAUGCUGUUCUAAAGCCACUAGGCCAUUUUGCUAACUCUGCACUUGCAAGUAUGUAUCCUCCCAUGUGUGCUGGGGAAUUUGUUGAAAAGGAGCUUGCUGUGAUUAAUCUAAAAGGAAACAAAAGAGAUUCUUCAACGUAGUCAGAGCAUAACAUGAUACUAUCCAGCUUACAAACAUGAAACAUUAUCUGAAGAUUUUUUAGCAGAUGUCCAGGUGAGUUAGCAAGGAGGUAAUAUUGGGCAGGGAGAGCUCUGAAGAUAAUGUAAUAAAUAAUAGAAUUCUUAGAAAUGCCACUGAUAAUAUUUCCAUAUAAUGCAUGAAUGCAUGAUGUAAUAAGGGGGAGAAUACAUAUUAGCUUGUUUUAAAAUUUCAUCCCCUUUGCAUGUCUACUUUUUCAGGCAGGUUCUCAUAUUUUAGCUUGUGUUUGAGAUCCUGGAAAAUAUUAGGGUGUUGCAACUGAGUACUGAGUACACAAUAUUUAUGCUCAAAUAUAUCAACAGAUAUAUGGCUAUUUGGCCAACUAUUAGCUA